Long non-coding RNA from Carassius gibelio (silver crucian carp), 938 nucleotides. RefSeq lists it as uncharacterized. Lineage: Eukaryota; Metazoa; Chordata; Actinopteri; Cypriniformes; Cyprinidae. The transcript is spliced from 5 exons. The record is from RefSeq and is a predicted model, not a curated record.
GUAACGCGGAGCUCAGGAGGAGGAGGGUUAUGGCUGCGAUCAGACAGCGGUUCAGCGUCACUCCUUCCCACGGCGUCUCGAGCUGCGUCAGACUCUGGACGGAGAGCGCGUGGCGUAACGACGUCGCUGGACAGGUGAUAAAACACAGGCUCGUACUGGUGCUGGAGACCCGGUGUUCCCGUGCGAUCAUCUUUGGGACCUGCUGGACGAUUGGAGCUUCCUGCCGGACAGAAGACUCCAUUCAGACAGCAGUGAGGAUCACAGACGUCACCUUUGACCCCUGUAACAGCGCGGCUUACCUGCACUGAGGUGAGCGGGAGUCCUGAGACGGAGAGGACGGCGGUGUGAGAGCGCUGGAGCAUGUGGUUUUGGAAGAAACACAGCAGCUCAAACAUCAUCUCAUUUACAGCAACUGUAAGAGAAGCAGAUUCAGCAGUUACUGAAAUAUAACAAAGCAUGAGCUGAAUGUGUUGUGUAUAUUAACAGACUGAAAUGUCUGCUAUUCCUCGGAUAUCAAGAGUUGCAUCAUCACGGCGUGAAGUCUUCAAGAACAACGAAUGUUCAGUAGUUACUCAACAUUUCACAGAUACUUCUCAUCUGCUCCUCUCCAUGCUCCUGAUACUCUAACACACGUCCCGCUUUAUUCACUAUUCCUACGAGACCGAGCCGCUCCGGACACUUUCUGGACACACAAAGCAAACGUGACAUUUGAGUGAUAUAAUAACCUUUCUCAUCAUUCAACACUUCAGCUGGACUCAGAAAUGCAUGGCUUUGCUUUGCUUUUUUUUUUUCUACUCCGCUUUUUAGCAGAUUGUUAGAACCACAAUACUAUCAGUCUUCAUUUUUAACACUAGAUCUAUUGUUUUAUCAUCUACGACCAAACCACCGUCUUGUUUUUGAAUCAUUUUGCUGUGCAUUAAAUCACAAUUGCUUUGAUA